UACGAAGGGGGCUAGCGUUGUUCGGAAUCACUGGGCGUAAAGCGCUCGUAGGCGGAUCUUUAAGUCAGAGGUGAAAUCCCAAGGCUCAACCUUGGAACUGCCUUUGAUACUGGGGAUCUCGAGUCCGGGAGAGGUGAGUGGAACUGCGAGUGUAGAGGUGAAAUUCGUAGAUAUUCGCAAGAACACCAGUGGCGAAGGCGGCUCACUGGCCCGGUACUGACGCUGAGGAGCGAAAGCGUGGGGAGCGAACAGG
This 253-nucleotide ribosomal RNA is filed under the name uncultured bacterium. RNAcentral's name for it is "partial 16S ribosomal RNA". It matches the Rfam family "Bacterial small subunit ribosomal RNA", at positions 524 to 776 of the family's 1533-position model. The record is from RNAcentral.